RNAcentral lists this ribosomal RNA (1215 nucleotides) under Klebsiella pneumoniae. RNAcentral describes it as "bacterial SSU rRNA". It matches the Rfam family "Bacterial small subunit ribosomal RNA", at positions 36 to 1256 of the family's 1533-position model. Lineage: Bacteria; Pseudomonadati; Pseudomonadota; Gammaproteobacteria; Enterobacterales; Enterobacteriaceae. The record is from RNAcentral.
CCAUCACAGCUGCGAUUCAUGCAGUCGAGCGGUAGCACAGAGAGCUUGCUCUCGGGUGACGAGCGGCGGCGGGUGAGUAAUGUCUGGGAAACUGCCUGAUGGAGGGGGAUAACUACUGGAAACGGUAGCUAAUACCGCAAACGUCGCAAGACCAAAGUGGGGGACCUUCGGGCCUCAUGCCAUCAGAUGUGCCCAGAUGGGAUUAGCUAGUAGGUGGGGUAACGGCUCACCUAGGCGACCAUCCCUAGCUGGUCUGAGAGGAUGACCAGCCACACUGGACUGAGACACGGUCCAGACUCCUACGGGAGGCAGCAGUGGGGAAUAUUGCACAAUGGGCGCAAGCCUGAUGCAGCCAUGCCGCGUGUAUGAAGAAGGCCUUCGGGUUGUAAAGUACUUUCAGCGGGGAGGAAGGCGAUAAGGUUAAUAACCUUGUCGAUUGACGUUACCCGCAGAAGAAGCACCGGCUAACUCCGUGCCAGCAGCCGCGGUAAUACGGAGGGUGCAAGCGUUAAUCGGAAUUACUGGGCGUAAAGCGCACGCAGGCGGUCUGUCAAGUCGGAUGUGAAAUCCCCGGGCUCAACCUGGGAACUGCAUUCGAAACUGGCAGGCUAGAGUCUUGUAGAGGGGGGUAGAAUUCCAGGUGUAGCGGUGAAAUGCGUAGAGAUCUGGAGGAAUACCGGUGGCGAAGGCGGCCCCCUGGACAAAGACUGACGCUCAGGUGCGAAAGCGUGGGGAGCAAACAGGAUUAGAUACCCUGGUAGUCCACGCCGUAAACGAUGUCGAUUUGGAGGUUGUGCCCUUGAGGCGUGGCUUCCGGAGCUAACGCGUUAAAUCGACGCCUGGGGAGUACGGCCGCAAGGUUAAAACUCAAAUGAAUUGACGGGGGCCCGCACAAGCGGUGGAGCAUGUGGUUUAAUUCGAUGCAACGCGAAGAACCUUACCUGGUCUUGACAUCCACAGAACUUGCCAGAGAUGGGCUUGGUGCCUUCGGGAACUGUGAGACAGGUGCUGCAUGGCUGUCGUCAGCUCGUGUUGUGAAUGUUGGGUUAAGUCCCGCAACGAGCGCACCCUUAUCCUUUGUUGCCAGCGGUUAGGCCGGAACUCAAGGAGACUGCCAGUGUAACUGGAGAAGGGGUGGGAUGACGUCAAGUCAUCAUGUCCCUAACGAACAAGCCUAACCCACGUGCUAAUGGCGCAUACGAGGGAGACAGGCAU